Transfer RNA from Sebaldella termitidis ATCC 33386, 74 nucleotides. It matches the Rfam family "tRNA". From Rfam's summary of the family: Transfer RNA (tRNA) molecules are approximately 80 nucleotides in length. Their secondary structure includes four short double-helical elements and three loops (D, anti-codon, and T loops). The record is from Rfam. Lineage: Bacteria; Fusobacteriati; Fusobacteriota; Fusobacteriia; Fusobacteriales; Leptotrichiaceae.
GGGGGUGUAGCUCAGCUGGUUAGAGCGCUGGCCUGUCACGCCAGAGGUCGCGGGUUCGAGCCCCGUCACUCCCG